RNAcentral lists this ribosomal RNA (344 nucleotides) under uncultured bacterium. RNAcentral describes it as "bacterial SSU rRNA". It matches the Rfam family "Bacterial small subunit ribosomal RNA", at positions 29 to 402 of the family's 1533-position model. The record is from RNAcentral.
AACGAACGCUGGCGGCAGGCCUAACACAUGCAAGUCGAACGCUCCGCAAGGGGAGUGGCGCACGGGUGAGUAACACGUGGGAACCUACCUUCUGGUACGGAACAACCAAGGGAAACUUUGGCUAAAACCGUAUACGACCUCCGGGUGAAAGAUUGAUCGCCGGAAGAGGGGCCCGCGUCCGAUUAGGUAGUUGGUGAGGUAACGGCUCACCAAGCCUACGAUCGGUAGCUGGUCUGAGAGGAUGACCAGCCACACUGGGACUGAGACACGGCCCAGACUCCUACGGGAGGCAGCAGUGGGGAAUAUUGCGCAAUGGGCGGAAGCCUGACGCAGCGACGCCGCGU